This 148-nucleotide non-coding RNA is filed under the name Homo sapiens (human). Lineage: Eukaryota; Metazoa; Chordata; Mammalia; Primates; Hominidae. The record is from Rfam by way of RNAcentral.
UCCGGGCGUGGUGGCACGCGCCUGUAAUCCCAGCUACUCAGGAGGCUGAGGCAGGAGAAUCACUUGAACCCAGGAGGCGGAGGUUGCAGUGAGCUGAGAUUCUGCCACUGCACCUCAGCCUGGGCAACAGAGUGAGAUUCUGUCUCAA